AGCGAACGCUGGCGGCAGGCUUAACACAUGCAAGUCGAACGCCCCGCAAGGGGAGUGGCAGACGGGUGAGUAACACGUGGGAACGUACCCUUUGGUUCGGAAUAACUUGGGGAAACUCAAGCUAAUACCGGAUAAGCCCUUAUGGGGAAAGGUUUACUGCCGAAGGAUCGGCCCGCGUCUGAUUAGCUAGUUGGUGAGGUAAUGGCUCGCCAAGGCGACGAUCAGUAGCUGGUCUGAGAGGAUGAUCAGCCACACUGGGACUGAGACACGGCCCAGACUCCUACGGGAGGCAGCAGUGGGGAAUAUUGGACAAUGGGGGCAACCCUGAUCCAGCCAUGCCGCGUGAGUGAUGAAGGCCUUAGGGUUGUAAAGCUCUUUUACCUGGGAUGAUAAUGACAGUACCAGGAGAAUAAGCCCCGGCUAACUCCGUGCCAGCCGCCGCGGUAA
This 447-nucleotide ribosomal RNA is filed under the name uncultured bacterium. RNAcentral's name for it is "partial 16S ribosomal RNA". It matches the Rfam family "Bacterial small subunit ribosomal RNA", at positions 29 to 523 of the family's 1533-position model. The record is from RNAcentral.